GCCCACCCCAGGCUCCGCGUGCAGCGCUCAGCCCGCGGCUCUGGCCAUGGCUACAUUGAGGGUCCAUCCCGAAGUCCAAGCCAAGGUUGAUGUGUUUCGUGAAGACCUGUGUAGUAAGACAGAGAACCUGCUUGGGAGCUAUUUUCCCAAGAGGAUCUCAGAGUUGGAAGCCUUCUUAAAGGAGCCAGCUCUCAACGAAGCCAACCUGAGCAAUCCGAAGGCUCCAUUGGACAUCCCAGUUCCUGAUCCUGUCAAGGAGAAAGAGAAGGAGGAGUGGAAGAAGCAACAGGAGAAGGAAGAGAAGGCCGAAAAGAAGAAAGGGGACGAAGACGACAAAGGUCCUCCCUGUGGCCCAGUGAAGUGCAAUGAGAAGAUUGUGGUCCUCCUGCAAAGCCUAAAGCCCGAGAUCAAGGAUAUCAUUGAGCAACUCAACCUGGUUACUACCUGGUUGCAGCUACUGAAUACCUCGGAUAGGAUGGGAAUAAUUUAAGCGUGGCUGUCCAGGAAAGGUGUUUGAGCUGAUGACCACCUUCAUACCAAGUUGGAAGGCUUCCAAGCGUGAGAUCUCUAAGUACUUCUCCGAGGAGGGGUGGCCAGUAUUAAAACGUAAGCAGCCCCGUGGGUGAUUAUCGACAACUGGUGCCUGUGAGCUGGACGAGGCAGAAUACCAGAAUCCGGCUGAUGGUCAUGGAGAUCCAUGCGCUUAUGCUGUGUUAUAUGACAUCAUCUGA
Rattus rattus (black rat) is the source of this 731-nucleotide RNA transcript. It is a transcript of the gene named proteasome activator complex subunit 1-like, with no coding region annotated. The record is from RefSeq and is a predicted model, not a curated record. Lineage: Eukaryota; Metazoa; Chordata; Mammalia; Rodentia; Muridae. The transcript has a single exon.